GACGGAGGAUGCAAGCGUUAUCCGGAAUGAUUGGGCGUAAAGCGUCCGCAGGUGGCAGUUCAAGUCUGCUGUCAAAGACCGGGGCUUAACUUCGGAAAGGCAGUGGAAACUGAACAGCUAGAGUAUGGUAGGGGCAGAGGGAAUUCCUGGUGUAGCGGUGAAAUGCAUAGAUAUCGAGAGGAACACCUGCGGCGAAGGCGGGUUGCUGGGCUGACACUGACGCUGAUGCGCGAAAGCUAGGGGAGCGAACGGG
RNAcentral lists this ribosomal RNA (253 nucleotides) under uncultured bacterium. Its description in RNAcentral is "partial 16S ribosomal RNA". It matches the Rfam family "Bacterial small subunit ribosomal RNA", at positions 524 to 776 of the family's 1533-position model. The record is from RNAcentral.